UCUUCCGUAGUGUAAUGGUAGCACACGAGCUUUUGGUGCUUUUAGUUCGGGUUCGAAUCCUGACGGAAGAA
This 71-nucleotide transfer RNA is filed under the name Treponema sp. RNAcentral describes it as "tRNA-Gln". It matches the Rfam family "tRNA". From Rfam's summary of the family: Transfer RNA (tRNA) molecules are approximately 80 nucleotides in length. Their secondary structure includes four short double-helical elements and three loops (D, anti-codon, and T loops). Further hydrogen bonds mediate the characteristic L-shaped molecular structure. tRNAs have two regions of fundamental functional importance: the anti-codon, which is responsible for specific mRNA codon recognition, and the 3' end, to which the tRNAs corresponding amino acid is attached (by aminoacyl-tRNA synthetases). tRNAs cope with the degeneracy of the genetic code in two manners: having more than one tRNA (with a specific anti-codon) for a particular amino acid; and 'wobble' base-pairing, i.e. permitting non-standard base-pairing at the 3rd anti-codon position. The record is from RNAcentral. RNAcentral also lists the same sequence under 1 other name. Lineage: Bacteria; Pseudomonadati; Spirochaetota; Spirochaetia; Treponematales; Treponemataceae.